GGGGCUAUCGUCUAAACGGUCAGUGACAACACCCUUUCAAGGUGUAGAUCCGGGUUCGAAUCCCGGUAGCCCUACCA
Molecule: transfer RNA, 77 nt
Filed under: Clostridia bacterium
Lineage: Bacteria; Bacillati; Bacillota; Clostridia
Description: tRNA-Glu
Rfam family: tRNA
About the family: Transfer RNA (tRNA) molecules are approximately 80 nucleotides in length. Their secondary structure includes four short double-helical elements and three loops (D, anti-codon, and T loops).
Source: RNAcentral